GUUGGGCACGGUGGCAUAUGCCUGUAAUCCCAGCAGCUCAGGAGGCUGAGACAGGAGGAUCACGAGUUCAAAGCCAACCUCAGCAAAAAGCAAGGCACUAAACAACUCAGUGAGACCCUGUCUCAA
This 126-nucleotide small RNA is filed under the name Marmota monax (woodchuck). The record is from RNAcentral. Lineage: Eukaryota; Metazoa; Chordata; Mammalia; Rodentia; Sciuridae.